CCUUUGGUUUCCUUCAUUUGGCAUUUACCACUGCUCUUUCCUUCGGCUUUUCCAUUUUCUACUGCCCCAAUUCUCCUAUGUUCAACUAUUAUUUUCCUCAAUUUCAUUGUGGUUAGACUUGCUUCCCUAUGGUUGCUUCGACUAUUCUACAUUUGUGGAUAAUAAGCAGCAGCUUGCAGGUACAUCUUAUGGCAACAAGAAUAGAAUUGAUACAAGAUAUUGGAAUAAUGGUCUCAUAUGCCACAUGGAAGAUCAAAUUUACCUCUCCACAUUUAAUGUAUUUUGAUUGAAGGUUCAUUAUACGUGUACUACAGUUGACACUCUUUAAGGAAGAAUGCAGGGAAAUAGACAAAAACAUUCUACAAGGUAAUAAACUAGCACAAAUAGUCUUAAUUUCAUUUGCUUCUCUUCAAAGGAAGUUUGAUUUUCCCAGAAUAUAUCUUAAUUUUUUGUUUGACUCUUUGGAUGAAGAUCAAAU
Long non-coding RNA from Lycium ferocissimum, 478 nucleotides. RefSeq lists it as uncharacterized. NCBI's taxonomy places the organism in Eukaryota, Viridiplantae, Streptophyta, Magnoliopsida, Solanales, Solanaceae. The transcript has 3 exons. The record is from RefSeq and is a predicted model, not a curated record.